GAAGGUAGUUCUGUAGGUUAGAAUGACAAGACACUAGUUAGUAAUUCUAAUCCACAAAACUAAAUGCAGUAAAUAAAGAGCACAGCCUAAGUGUACAGUGCUUGUAAAGUCUGCAGUAGCGUACAGUAAUGUCCAAGGCUUUCACAUCCACUCACCACUCGCUCACUGACCCAGCCAGAGCAACUUCCAGUCCUGAAAGCUGCAUUCAUGCAAGCUUCCCAGGAGAUUCUUAGAUUCCUGCUAACAAAAGGCGGAGACUCACUGGACAGUUACUGAAGAUAGACAGUAGGGGGCGGAAGGGCCCACGCUUCUUUGAUAUUGGUGGCUUUGGUUUUUCAGUGACGGGGGACACUUUG
Long non-coding RNA from Pan troglodytes (chimpanzee), 356 nucleotides. RefSeq lists it as uncharacterized. NCBI's taxonomy places the organism in Eukaryota, Metazoa, Chordata, Mammalia, Primates, Hominidae. The transcript is spliced from 3 exons. The record is from RefSeq and is a predicted model, not a curated record.